RNAcentral lists this unclassified non-coding RNA (348 nucleotides) under soil metagenome. Its description in RNAcentral is "partial contains 5.8S ribosomal RNA, internal transcribed spacer 2, and large subunit ribosomal RNA". The stretch from base 1 to 120 matches the Rfam family "5.8S ribosomal RNA", at positions 35 to 154 of the family's 154-position model. The record is from RNAcentral.
GAUGAAGAACGUAGCAAAAUGCGAUAAGUAAUGUGAAUUGCAGAAUUCAGUGAAUCAUCGAAUCUUUGAACGCACAUUGCGCCCGCUGGUAUUCCGGCGGGCAUGCCUGUUCGAGUGUCAUUUCAACCCUCAAGCCCCCGGGUUUGGUGUUGGGGAUCGGCUCUGCCCUUCUGGGCGGUGCCGCCCCCGAAAUACAUUGGCGGUCUCGCUGCAGCCUCCAUUGCGUAGUAGCUAACACCUCGCAACUGGAACGCGGCGCGGCCAUGCCGUAAAACCCCAACUUCUGAAUGUUGACCUCGGAUCAGGUAGGAAUACCCGCUGAACUUAAGCAUAUCAAUAAGCGGAGGA